This 2053-nucleotide long non-coding RNA is filed under the name Olea europaea subsp. europaea. Lineage: Eukaryota; Viridiplantae; Streptophyta; Magnoliopsida; Lamiales; Oleaceae. The record is from RNAcentral.
UAGUGAUUGCCCAUGUUAACUUGCAGAUUUAUGAACUCACAAUCCAGGCACUAAUGUUUGUAUUCAGCCACACUUCAAGGCUCGAAAUCCUGGAGAGAAGUCAUAACAAAUAAGCAAUUUCAAAUAUAAAAUGAACUCACAGAAAUAUACUCGAAGAGAAAAUUCAUAGCGAAUGUUUAAGUGCGUUUGAGAAUGGGUACCAGUUGACACUAAGUAAAAAUGAUAUUCACAUUCAAAAUAACUAAUUUAAAUAAUCAGCCGCGAUUAUAUUAUUUUCAUACAAUACAUCAAACUGAGAGAGAGUGGACAUAAAUUUUCCACCGAGGUCGAACACACCAAAAAAUUGAUGGAUCCUACAAAAACUGCCAAUGUAACUAUGGCUUAGUUUAAAUACAGCUACCACUGGUAAUCGCAGCAAGUGAAUGCCUACAGGUGAAAAGGAUGUGUUAAUUUUCAAACAGUCAUGAGAUCACUCUAGAUAGCCCCCAUUAGCAAAAUGUUGAUUAGGGCUUGAAGAAACGCUUGAACUGGCAAUGUUGCCAUUUGUAGCACCUUUAAUUUCAAAGGAUCUACAUUUGCUUCACAAAUUUUCUUUACUUUCUCUUGGGCCUAUUUAAUUAAAAGACCAUUAUCAUUAGUUUCCUUCUCACCAAGCUUCCGAACUGGCCAAGAAGUGGCCUAUUCCUAUGUACUAAGCAUUAAAAUUAUUAGACAAACAAAGGCAUAAAAAUAAUUAUCCACUCAAGAACUGAAACCUGGAAAGAAGUCAAGUGAUAUAAAAUUGUAUUUAAGAAAAUCACAAGAUAAGAAUAGCAUCUUACAAAUAUUUGAAAUAAAUACAUCCAAUGAAGUUUUUUCCUGAUUUAGACUUCAAAAAACACAACAGCUUCAUACCAAGCAGAUGUACAACUUACUUGCAUAAGAUAAAUUUGCCUUAUAAAGAGAAACAUAAACCAUAAAGUACAAACAAAAGAUUGGGUUGCUGGACUCAUAGAAUAAAAGAGAACAACAAAGCCAAUGAAUUAGUGCAUAUUAAGAUGUUGGAAGAAAAGAAAAAAGAAAAAUCCAGAGAAGAAAGAUCCUUUGCAUUGAGAAAUUAAGGCAUCAAAUCUCCUGCAUGAUAAGUAAAAAACCCAGAUACUAUGAACGCGAGGCUCGAUGUUCUAUAUUACAGCUGUAACAAUGAAUUUAGAACACUUAAGUUAUACAUCUUUCUCUUUACUUCCAUUAAUAAUGAUUAAAUAAAAAUGAAAUUGGUUGUCUCACCUUUAAAAACUUAAUGGUUUUUUCAUUAGCGAAGAAAGAGUGUACCAUUAAAUACCAAAAAUUAACAUACAACUAAACUUGCUUCCAGGAAAUUGUUCCUUAAAAGAAAAUUUUUAAAAAAAAAUUCGAGGCCUUCAUUAUUAAUCAUUUUUCUACAAAAUUGAAAAAGGAAGAAGAAAUAGAACCAAGAAAACAAACACAAAAUAGACAGCUUCAGCCACCACGAACACAGCUUUGACUUUCUGCCGUCAGUCACACAAUCUCCUCAGAUGUCUAAACCACCAUUUUCAUAAAUCCUACCAAAACCACCGCAAAAAUGUGGCAGCUGCAAUUGGGAGUUGCAUAGAUCCACCGAACCCAAACCCAUAACCAAAGAACUCGAUUUGAACCGGUUGAAGACUCUGUCUAGUCUAAUUCCUAUUACUUUCCAUGAAUUAUUCAUAACUGCAUAUAUGAUGGAAAAAGAUCUAGCAUCCGCCGUCUACUUUAUCGCUGGAUUAGCCAGCAAGUUAGGGCAGAAACAAAGGACAUGACGCAAGAGGAGGGAGAAGUUUCCGGAGAGUCGACUGCUAGGGUUUGUUGGAAUAAAUGUGUAAAAUGAAUAUAAGAACGGAAGAAAUGAACAAUAGUCAAACCAGUGAAUCCGAAAAAAAAAAAAAAAAAAAAAAAAAAAAAGGGCUUGCACUCCUAUAAACAGUGGCAAGAUGAAGUCCCUCUUUUAAUAUAUAGGGAUACGUUUUUCAUUCAAUGGAAAUUUCAUAUUAAAACCUUUGGGUUUGGACUAGAG